This 572-nucleotide long non-coding RNA is filed under the name Homo sapiens (human). Its description in RNAcentral is "non-protein coding lnc-PALMD-1:1". Lineage: Eukaryota; Metazoa; Chordata; Mammalia; Primates; Hominidae. The record is from RNAcentral.
GACCCCAAGAAACCAAAGGGCAAGAUAUCUACUUAUGCCUUCUUUGUGCAGAUGCGCAGAGAACCUAAGAAGAAAAACCCAGUGGUCCCUGUCAAUUUUGCAGAAUUUUCCAAGAAGUGCUCUGAGAGGUGGAAGACCAUGUCUGGGAAAGAGAAGUCUAAAUUUGAUGAAAUGGCAAAGGCGGAUAAAUUAUGCUAUGAUCAGGAAAUGAAGGAUUACAUACCAGCUAAGGGAGGCAAGAAGAAGGAUCUUAAUGCCCACAAAAGACCACCAUCUGGAUUCCUCCUGUUCUGUUCAGAAUUCUGCCCAAGAUCAAAUUCACAAAGCCUGACAUCUCUAUUGAAGAUGUGGCAAAAAAGCUGGAUGAGAUGUGGAAUAACUUAAAUGACAGUGAAAAGGAGCCUUACCUUACUAUCACCAAGGCAGCAAAGCUGAAAGAGAAGUAUGAGAAGGAUGUUGCUGACUACAAGUCUAGAAAGCUUGAUGGUGCAAAAGGUCCUGCUAAAGUUGCCCAAAAACAAGUGGAAGAGGAAGAUGAAGAAGACGAGGAGGAAGUAAAGGAGGAGGAUGAA